UUUUAAGAGAUUACCUACUUUUCUCGCUCUCACGCCUAGAGAAGCUGCCCUAACCUGAUGCCUUAUCUGAGGAAUAUAUGUGUGGAGAAGUGACUGUGUGCCAGAGACCCCUGUGCACAUUCAUAAGUGGGAAGGUAAAACUCCUAAUACUUGACACCACACAAAAAUACAAAGAUGUUUCUCCAAUGGCAAAGUACUUGUGGUCUCCCUUCGUCUGUUGCUAGGAGACCUGUUUAAGAAUUAAUCAGGGAAACAUCACAAAUGCUGCUAAAUCAUGCACCACACUACAGAUUGAGCUGCUCCAAAGAGAUGAGAAAACUUGCUUUUUCUGUUAACCCGGCACAGACUGGUAUGCAGCACAAUUUCCUUCAAAAGACCUGGAGACUGUAACAGAGGAUUGGUGGGCUCUGUCCAGUCUGCCCUGAGACCCCAGCAUAGAGCCUGAGAGAUGCUAAGUAUAGCAAAAGCAGGACUUGAGUUGUGGUGGCAAGGAUCUCUGCUGCCAAGUGGAGAAAACUUUGUUACCAGCCCAAAGUCAGCACCUGGGACCGUGGCUGUCGCUCUGCUGGUGGUCUUGAUCAAGUUGCCAUUGGACAGAUUUCUCUCCUACAGACCCACCACAGUAUCUGGUGAGUGGGAAGAUGAGCCUGCUGCACCGAACACAAGCAGGUAG
RNAcentral lists this long non-coding RNA (673 nucleotides) under Anser brachyrhynchus (Pink-footed goose). RNAcentral describes it as "lncRNA (ENSABRG00000008143.1)". The record is from RNAcentral. Lineage: Eukaryota; Metazoa; Chordata; Aves; Anseriformes; Anatidae.